GAUGAAGAACGUAGCGAAAUGCGAUACGUAGUGUGAAUUGCAGAAUUCAGUGAAUCAUCGAAUCUUUGAACGCACAUUGCACCUCUCGGUAUUCCGGGAGGUAUGCCUGUUCGAGCGUCAUUUGUACCCUCAAGCUCUGCUUGGUGUUGGGUGUUUGUUCCGCCUCUGUGUGUGAACUCGCCUCAAAACAAUUGGCAGCCGGCGUACUUGUUUCGGAGCGCAGCACAUUUUGCGAUCCAGAUCAACGUACAGCGGCAUCCAAGAAGCCUUAUUUAACGCUCUUGACCUCGGAUCAGGUAGGGAUACCCGCUGAACUUAAGCAUAUCAAUAAGCGGGGGA
RNAcentral lists this unclassified non-coding RNA (339 nucleotides) under soil metagenome. RNAcentral's name for it is "partial contains 5.8S ribosomal RNA, internal transcribed spacer 2, and large subunit ribosomal RNA". The stretch from base 1 to 120 matches the Rfam family "5.8S ribosomal RNA", at positions 35 to 154 of the family's 154-position model. The record is from RNAcentral.